UAAGAAUAUCUCGAUCGGAUCUUCCAUUAAUUAUUUCUCUAAACAACAAACUCAAUUUAAUACAUUUUUAUCGAAAUUAUAGGAAUAUUAGUCACUUGCUAUAAAUACAUUUUAAAAAAACAUUUAAUGCUGAAAUAUUUCAAUGAAAUAUCUAUACAGAGAUUUACGGCAAUAUUCCCUAAGAUUACGAUAACAAAUUUGAGACAUUAAUGCUAUCAGAAAACAAUGAAAUGGAAAUCAAAGAUUGAACUCAUUCACCUUUAGCAUUCAUUGUUUUUAUUUGAUUUUUUUUUUAAAAUAUUGUCCUUAGAAAUCGUUGACAAAUAUUCAUACCGACUGAAUUAAGGAAAUUAUUUACUACUAUACAAAAUCGGAAUUAAAGCAUAUUCCUAAAAAAAAAAUCCGAUUAGAAUGAUUUGAUUAAAAAGAUUAAAGCAUGAAUAUUUACCUUGGCCACCACUACUUUCGUAACCUAAUCUUCCACGCCUAUAUAAACUCUUUAGCUUCACUUCUCAUCCCACCAUCAAACACACAAAGCCUUUUUAUUCUUCUACCGAAAUCGCAACAUCAAACACACAAAGCCUUCUGUAUCGCCAGGGCAUGGCGUAUUGAUAUUGGGUAGGGGUAUAUGCUUCUUCCUCGGCCUCAGAUUCCUUGUGCCCACCGCCACUGCGCGUGUUCUUCACCUGCAUUUAUAUUUCCAUUAUUCAGAUAUUAAUUACCAAUAAUGUAUUAGAUUGUGAAAAUAGUCUAAUUAUAUUAUUAAUCUGGGUUUGCAUGUGAAA
Arabidopsis lyrata subsp. lyrata is the source of this 785-nucleotide long non-coding RNA. RefSeq lists it as uncharacterized. The record is from RefSeq and is a predicted model, not a curated record. Lineage: Eukaryota; Viridiplantae; Streptophyta; Magnoliopsida; Brassicales; Brassicaceae. The transcript has 2 exons.